Molecule: long non-coding RNA, 4688 nt
Filed under: Homo sapiens (human)
Lineage: Eukaryota; Metazoa; Chordata; Mammalia; Primates; Hominidae
Description: HSALNT0391323
Source: RNAcentral
AAAAAUAGCAUGUAUGUUCUCCUUCCUCCAUCCUUUCCUUCCUUCCUCCCUCUCUCCCUCCUUCCCUCCCUUCUUCCUUCCUUCCCUGUUUCCUUGUUUCCCUUCCUUCUCUUCCUCCCUUCCCCUCCCCUCCCCCUCCCUCUCCCCUCCCCUCCCCCUCCCUCUCCCCUCCCCUCCCUCCCUCCCUCCCUUCCUUCUUCCUUCCUUCCUUUUUUUCUCUUCCCUUGCUUCUUCUUUCCUCCUUCCUUCCCUCCUUCUCUUCCUACCUUCCGCUUCCCUUCUCUCCUCUUUUCUUCCUUCUUCCCACACAUUUGUAAUUCUCUAUCAUUUGCCUGCCACUCUGUUUGUUGUUGCUGUAAUUAGUAGUGCUCACAAGUGACUCUUAAUAAAGUUACAAUAAUAAAGCAUGGUUACCUAAUGCAAUGUUUAACCUAAAAUUUGAAAGUGUUUCUUCUUACAGUUUAAGUUGGUUUUGUAAGGACUUUGCUCCGGUGAACCCUGUUCUUUCCCUCCCUCCUGCUAAAUGACUGCUCUGACCCCGUAUUCUGCUGCGAUUAGUUCUGUGAAUCAUCUUCGCCUCAGCAUUUCCCCAGUCCUGACACAUGGACAGAAAGACAUCCCUUGGCAAACAUUCAAUCUAGUACAACAAACAAAUGAAUCAAGUCUCAGCCUUUGUCAUUUUACUUGGAUUUUGUUUUUUUACAUUUUUGCUAAUACAGUUUUACAUCUAAAGUCCCAGUUAAGCAGCUCUUCAUUUGGUCCUGCAAACAGAGUGUCUCGUCGAAUAGUAUAUAGGAGGUUCCUUUACAUUAGGAACUUUCUCAUAAAAACAGAUUAUUUACCAAGAGAGAAAUUUCAAAGGCAAGUAUACACACAUUUCUAACAAAACACUCUCGGCAAAAGCACUGUCAGAUGGCAACCAUAUAUGACAAAAUGAGGGAAAGUUGAAUGAACAUGUCAGAGGUUUUCUUCAGUCCUAUCAUGAGUUCUUUUGGUGGCCAUAAGGUCAACAAAGCACUCCUCCCUGCCUUUUCCAGGGAGGAGCUGAAGUGGCAGCCAGCAUCACUUGGGCACACUCAGUCAAUGAGGCAGCUGAAUAAGAUGCCCCCGAGUUGCCAUAGAAACUGGAAGAAGCAGAGAAGCACCUUCUCCUGCACACUCUUUAAUUUCAUCUGAGUGACUUUGUUUAAGAACCAAAAAUAAAAAGUGCACAAGGAUGUAAUUAUAUAAAAAGCUGUGUUCGAUUAUAAAUACAGUAUGUACUUUUGCCUCAGUCUACAGCUCACCUCUCCCUUCCAUUUCGAGGCAUUUGAACCAUUCAAGGAGGAGUCUUCACUUCAGCUUUAAUUGAAAUGAGGCCCAGAUUUACCAAGACAGGGGAGCGAGACUUUCUGCAUUUCUAUCUUUCCCUGGUUCACAUUUGACGUCUGCAUGUGGAGUCUUUUAUAACAAAGUCUAUUUCCAGGGGAUCUUCAUAUCGGGCCAUCUGGGUUCACCAGGGCUUACUGAAAUUGCUCUGCCUUUUGGCAUUUGUAGUCUAAAACAUCGUAUAGGUUUAUGAUCAUUUUGCAGGAUAAUAAAAAGAGGUGGACAGGAGAAUGCCAAAAAAGCAAUUAGUGGAGAAGGGCAACAAAAUCCUUUUUUAAAGAAAUCCUGUUGCUACUUGCAAUAAACAGCUAGUUUCACAAUAGAGCAGGAUGGGAGGAGAGUACCUCAACAGUGGUCCCAUUGCAGUGUUCACCUGGGGGAAAUUGUUCAGAAUUUAGAGGGUCUACCUCUGGUCUUUACACCUUCCUGAAGGGCUGAUGGGUUAAAUUUGCUGGAAGAAAAUGACACAUCUUCUUUCUAGUAUCCUUUAGUGAAACAGGGCAAUCCUGAACCUGCAUGAAUCCUGGCAUGAUUUGAAAUGUACUUGCUCUUAGGUUCCUACUUCCUGCUAGUGAUUUGCAUGAAGUUGAGUGCAAUAUAGAAUUUACUUAAAAAGGAAAAUGCAAAGGUACAAGGUGUGUCCAAUGAGCAAAAAUGCAAUCCUAUGUGUUCUUCGUGAAUAUGCCUUGUCUGUUCUCUUGAUUUGGAGGACUACACAUGAGAACCCGAGACUGAGACUUUCUGCAAGGCAAAUAAGUCUUUUGUAUAAGUAAAAUAUGAAAGGAUUUUUCCCUUUUUGGAAAGCUGGCAGCCUGCAGGUAAAAAAUGUGGCUGGUUCAGCUAGUGCUGUUUGUAAAACUAGACUGGCCAUGUUUCUUAAAUGCCUACUGAAACCAGUUACAUGCUUGCAAGCAAAAAAAGAAAGAAAAAUAAUGGAACUGAAGAACGUCCUUGGCUGUUUAAGGUUGGAAAAUUUUACUUAAAUGAAUCUAGAAUUUCCAGAUCUUUUUACCUAGAGGUACAUAACAACCACAAAAGGAGUUUCCUCAAAUAUAGCUUUAAAUGUCAGCCGUGUCCUCUUCCUGGCUUUGAGUUCAGAUGUAUUGUUUCUGGUGUUUUGUUUUGUUUUAUUGUUGAUUGUUUUUGGUUUUUGCCUCACAUCAACCCACGAUGAAAACUCAACUCCUCUUAGAGUUUUUCCAAAAUAACAUGAAAAUGCAUUAUUAAGAAAUGUUGGUUUUAUAGAAAAUUUUAUAUGGAAGACAGAAGAGGGGUUCUCUGCACACCCUCCACGUGAAACAUCAAACUUAUCUUGCAAGUUGGAUUUCUACAGGGAUUUCGUUCUCUUAUCUCUCACCACCAAGAGUGAGAUUUACUCUUUUUACCUUUUGAAAUCCAAUAAGGUGCUGGGCAAAACAAGGGACCCUGUGGUUAGCAAGGCCCUUGUUGUUAGAAAUGGUCAGCUUUAAAAUGCCACAGAUUAAAGAAAAAUUAUACAAUAACUGUGCCACUAAGAUGCAUAAAGUAAUAAAGUUUAAAUAACACAGUCCAGCAUUUGCCUCCAGUCUCAAAAGCUCAAAAGUCUGAUUCCAUCAGCACAUCUGGCCCUAGGAGCCAGAUGUAUGGACUUAAAAUAUUUAUUUACAAUGAGAAGUAUGAAUGCUAAAGGAACCACACACUUGAAGACUACAGUCAGUGUAUGUUCACUGUCUGUGAAUUUUUCAUGGUGGUUGGGAAUAGAGCAAGGAGAAGUCACGUGAAUUAAUCGUAGGAUUGUAGGAUGUUAGCAAACAAAGACAGCAUCUUUCAUCUAACUCAACUGGGAAUCAGACUAAAGAACUGGUCAUGUUGAAUCAUCAGAUGGAACUCUCUUGCCCUGAACAAUGCUUGGAUCAGCACUAUUCAUUUUAGCUUGUGGGAUUCUUCUUUCAGAUACUUCCAAGGCCGACUAGUAUCAUCAUUCUCUGUUCCCUUUUAAUUAAAACAUUCUUUACUUACAUAAGUGAAUAUACACAGUCCAUUUGAAGUUACAUUUCAGAGGUCUGGAAAUCUUUCUCUUGUUUCAUCUGUGAUUUUUUUAUAUAAUUAUCUCUUUAUGGUAUAUUUUACAUGCAAUAAAAUGCACUUAUUUAAGUGUACAUUUCUAUGCUUUGGAUAAAUGUAUAUAUUCUUGUAACUAUUACCACAGUCAUUACCAUCAUCUUCCAAAUUUAUUUUGUACCCUAAUUCAGAGAAUCCUCCCCUAUCAGUCCCACCCUUGGCCCCAGGAAACCACUGACAAAGUAAGUUUACCUUUUCCAGAGAUUUCAUCCUAUCUUUUUUUCUUUUUUUUUGAUUCCUUGAUCUUUAUUUUCUUAAUUGUUAAAUCGAUACAUUGUCAUUGUACAUAAGUAUGGAGUACAAUUUGGUGUUUCAAUAAAUAUCUACGUUGUAUAAUGAUCGAAACAGGGUAAUUAGCUUAUACAUCACCUCAUGUAUUUAAUAUUUCUUUGUGAUGAGAACAUUUAAAAGCCUAGCCCUAAAACUGUCCUCAUAAAAUUAAUAAAACUAAAUUGUCAGUUUUCUUACCAAAAGCAUAAGCUUUGAGUAGAAGCAGGGCUAAGCAUUAAUCAGGUUUCCCUAGAGCCUACUUCUUUCUCGCUUCCUACUACUUAAAAUUCACGUAGCCGCAUCACAAGCUCCUGGCUUCUACAGACAACGUCUUUAAUGUUAAGAAACCUCAGAUUCUCCAUUAAGAGAUGUUUUCCAGAUCUUGCAUUCUAAGGAUCCACUGACACCAGACAGUCUGAAGAACUCUCCGAGGAACUAAGUGCAACAAGGCAGUUUCUACAUAUUUAUGAUUUUAUCUCCCAUGCCCUAAUCAGUGACCUCCUGCUUCUCAGCCCCAUACGUGCCAAACUUUUCUUAAAAAACACAGUCCAAAUCUCCUCAAGGAGGCAGAGUUGAGGUUCUCUCCUAUCUCCUCAUUUGGAUGCCCCUGUGAUUAUUAAAUUCUUUCUCUGCGGCAACUCCCGCUGUUUCGACGUAUUGAAUUGUUACUGCUCGAUGAGCCCUUGAACAUGGCAGCCCUAUAACACCUUCUAGCUAUGUUGCAAUAUACAAUACUUUACUCUUAACCAUAGCCAUCCUACUGGGCAUUGGACACCAGAACUUAUUUCUCCUAUCUAAUUGUAACUUUGUACCCACCGAUCAAUCUCUCCCUAUCCUCCCCUACCCCUACUAACCCCUCCCUAGUCUCUGGUAAACACUCUUCUACUUGCUGCUUCUAUGAUGUUACUUUUAUUUUAGAUUCCACAUAUGUGAAAUCAUGCAGUAUUUGU